AACGAACGCUGGCGGCAUGCCUAACACAUGCAAGUCGAACGAGACCUUCGGGUCUAGUUGCGCACGGGUGCGUAACGCGUGGGAACCUGCCCUUAGGUUCGGAAUAACUCCCCGAAAGGGGUGCUAAUACCGGAUAAUGUCUUCGGACCAAAGAUUUAUCGCCUUUGGAUGGGCCCGCGUUGGAUUAGCUUGUUGGUAGGGUAAAAGCCUACCAAGGCGACGAUCCAUAGCUGGUCUGAGAGGAUGAUCAGCCACACUGGGACUGAGACACGGCCCAGACUCCUACGGGAGGCAGCAGUGGGGAAUAUUGGACAAUGGGCGAAAGGCUGAUCCAGCAAUGCCGCGUGAGUGAUGAAGGCCUUAGGGUUGUAAAGCUCUUUUACCCGGGACGAUAAUGACAGUACCGGGAGAAUAAGCUCCGGCUAACUCCGUG
Molecule: ribosomal RNA, 433 nt
Filed under: uncultured bacterium
Lineage: Bacteria
Description: partial 16S ribosomal RNA
Rfam family: Bacterial small subunit ribosomal RNA
Source: RNAcentral